This is a non-coding RNA of Vicugna pacos (alpaca), 72 nucleotides long. The record is from the annotation of a RefSeq genome assembly. Lineage: Eukaryota; Metazoa; Chordata; Mammalia; Artiodactyla; Camelidae.
GGGGGCAUAGCUCAGUGGUAAAGCACAUGCUUGACAUGCACAAGGUCCUGGGUUCAAUUCCCAGGGCCUCUG